UACGUAGGGUGCAAGCGUUUAAUCGGAAUUACUGGGCGUAAAGCGUGCGCAGGCGGUUAUGCAAGACAGAUGUGAAAUCCCCGGGCUCAACCUGGGGAACUGCAUUUGGGACUGCAAGGCUGGAGUGCGGCAGAGGAGACUGGAAUUCCUGGUGUAGCAGUGAAAUGCGUAGAUAUCAGGAGGAACACCGAUGGCGAAGGCAGGUCUCUGGGCUGACACUGACGCUCAUGCACGAAAGCGUGGGGAGCAAACAGG
RNAcentral lists this ribosomal RNA (255 nucleotides) under uncultured bacterium. RNAcentral's name for it is "partial 16S ribosomal RNA". It matches the Rfam family "Bacterial small subunit ribosomal RNA", at positions 524 to 776 of the family's 1533-position model. The record is from RNAcentral.